Molecule: ribosomal RNA, 253 nt
Filed under: uncultured bacterium
Lineage: Bacteria
Description: partial 16S ribosomal RNA
Rfam family: Bacterial small subunit ribosomal RNA
Source: RNAcentral
UACGGGGGGGGCAAGCGUUGUUCGGAAUUACUGGGCGUAAAGGGCUCGUAGGCGGCCAACUAAGUCGGACGUGAAAUCCCUCGGCUUAACCGGGGAACUGCGUCCGAUACUGGAUGGCUUGAGUUCGGGAGAGGGAUGCGGAAUUCCAGGUGUAGCGGUGAAAUGCGUAGAUAUUGGGAGGAACACCAGUGGCGAAGGCGGCUCACUGGACCGGUACUGACGCUGAUGCGCGAAAGCGUGGGGAGCAAACGGG